CUAUGAGGAUGAUUUUAAAAAUUGAACUCUUUCUGAUGGAUUAGUGGAGAAAACACAAAAAUUCUUAGUAGC
Small nucleolar RNA from Lemur catta (Ring-tailed lemur), 72 nucleotides. RefSeq annotates it as small nucleolar RNA SNORD26. Lineage: Eukaryota; Metazoa; Chordata; Mammalia; Primates; Lemuridae. The transcript has a single exon. The record is from RefSeq and is a predicted model, not a curated record.